Molecule: ribosomal RNA, 253 nt
Filed under: uncultured bacterium
Lineage: Bacteria
Description: partial 16S ribosomal RNA
Rfam family: Bacterial small subunit ribosomal RNA
Source: RNAcentral
UACGUAGGGGGCAAGCGUUGUCCGGAUUUAUUGGGCGUAAAGAGCGUGUAGGCGGCCAUACAGGUCCGUUGUGAAAACUCGAGGCUCAACCUCGAGACGUCGAUGGAAACCGCAUGGCUAGAGUCCGGAAGAGGAGAGUGGAAUUCCUGGUGUAGCGGUGAAAUGCGCAGAUAUCAGGAGGAACACCAAUUGCGAAGGCAGCUCGCUGGGACGUUACUGACGCUGAGACGCGAAAGCGUGGGGAGCAAACAGG